AAUUGAGGGUCUUGUGGAGGCCCUUUGUGAGGAAUCUGGAGGUAAAGAACUUUGUCUGGAGUUAGUGGAUAUCUAUCAAGUUGCUUAUCUAUCUCCUCCUCCUCUUUCUUCCCUGUCUGGCUCUGUGCUCUGGCCCAUGCAUACAUACAUAUAUAUAAAUCUUUACUACUCCACUUGCCAUGGCCCAUGGCGAUUUGAUUUCCUUGUUCACCCAAUCUCACUUGUUGAUGUGUGCACCCCUGUUCUUUUUUCCAAAAGAAAUAAAGGAGAGUGACAACACAAUUCAUUCAUGGCAAAGUUUCUCUUCCAUUGGCAAGUAUGCUCCAUUCAUACAGCUGCCAUUUGGCUACAUACUCUGCAGGGGAUGUUGUUAUGUAUGAAAGCGAUUUGCCAUUUCACAAAGUCAUGAAUCUUGUUGGGAUUAUCAGGAAUGCCGACAAUUUCGGACUCUAGGGUGACUGUUAGGUUAGGCCAUAACAGGCAAUCCUUCCUGCAACAGGUAUCUUGUCUUGUCUUGUGCACUACUGUUGGUUGGACAAUUGUGUGCUGUACACUGCUGACACAGUUCAACACAACCUUUUUUUAAAUUUCAGUGGGAGUACCUAGCUUUUCUGGAAACUAAUUGCUUGCACUAAAAGCAUGUUGGUUAGGUCAGAACUCACAAUAAGUACUGAUCAUUAUUCAACGAUGGUGUUCUAUAAAACACACAUGCUUUCCGGGAUCUCCCCUAUCAGUAUUACAGCCUUGUGAUCUGAAAAAAAAGUGAUGAGAGAACUAACAACUAAAGCUGCAAAGGUAGUCUUUCAUGGUGAGAUAGAUGAGACGGAAGCCGAGUUCUUGCCAUCUUGCUCUCCUUUGUUUGUGCAAGUGUGACGGCGAUGACGUUGGAAUCCGGAUGCUUUGGGUUGGGAUGGAUAGGGCUUGCAUUUGAUACUGAGUCAACUUGAUCAAGAUAGAAAAGGAGAGGCACCUAGGGGUUCCUCUUCCUUCCAGGCUCCCACAUACUUAACCAUAUCUGCAGGGGGCAGGACCAACAUAUGUCCUUUUCGGUCAGAUAUGCAGAUCUAGGUGCAUAUUUUCAAGCACAAUUUCACAGGGACCCAUUGGUAUCUUGUUCCUUUGUUUGUCCACUCUGGAAACACAUCGCUUGUUUGCUAACCCUGUUGGCCUGUUCCCCUGUUGCAAGUGCUGUGCUGAUGUCAGUUCAGGUAUCAAGUUGCCCUCCAUCCUGUAACUUGCGAUAUGAUCUUAACUCCAGAUGUUGUGUUCAUUUGGCUUAUCGUCUAGGACACUACAACCUGAAAGUGAUAGUGGUUGCUAAUUGGUGAAAAAAGCCGAUUUGUUUUGAUAUUCCUGUCUUCAGAGGGAGGGCAACUGCCAAAGUUUUCCAAACUGAUUAGACAGUAUGCUGGAUGCCAGUUCAUGUGAUAAAUGAGCACAAGUAUUCCUCUUGAGAGGGAAAACGAUGAAGAUUAGUCAAAUCUCCUGUUCCAAAAGCCGGACAAAGUUUCUUUUCUACUAGGAGUUUCUUCCACGGUUGCUGUUUUCUGCCACUUCAUGUACUGGAUUACUGACUCAUCAUCAGACAAUGCACCGCUGGUUGCAGAUGCAUGUGGUCUAUAGAAGUCUCCUCUCUCAAGACCAUGUUCGGUCACAACUCACAACAGCAGCUCUAGAUCUAGCAGCAGAAAAAAAAAUGUGAGAAAGAGAUGUGUACUGGUGACGUGGUGCAUGGUUAGAGCUGCCGAAGUACAGAGAGUGGUUGACAUGGGUGCAAGAAAAUCUGGACUUGAUCAGGCCUACCUCCAUGAUCCUGUGUCUGUAUUAGCCGCCUUUCUGGUACGGCACGACAUUGACCUCAAGGUAAGAUUUGUUGAGAAGAUGUACAGAAGCUUCUGAAGACGUUGGGCAGUAAUUUUCAGCAGUAGUUACACCUGUUAAAGGUAACUGAAACUGACUCUUGUCAGUGACAAGUGCCACAAGAUAGUUUACGCUCAUGCUUUUCGUAUGCAUAUAUAAGUUUCUUGGCUAUAAUCUGCACACGGGAGGAUACUUGUCGUAUGCAGAUUGCUUACCUAAUCUCAGAUACGGAGAUUGCUUUCUCAUAGGAAGAUCGCACGAUCUGAUUACUUCAGAGAAAAUGUUAAUCUAUUUCUCUAUUUUCUCCCCAUGGGGCUAGUAAUCACUAGUUCUUUUUACUGUUUGUUGUGUUUUCUAAUUCCGCAUGGGGCUAGUACACUUUUUUUUUUCUUACACUUGUAGUAGUUUCUCUGAGAUAGAGUAUUUCAUAAGCAACUGAGUACACUGAAUUUCUUUUCAGGUGACAUUAGUAUGCACGCCUAAGAUCUGAAACCUAAUACCAAAAGUUAAGUUCUCUUCAUCUCUUGUUCAGUUGUUCUCACUCCAGGCUCCCUUUUCUUCCGAAAAGGACGGCAAGAGCUUUGCUGUGAAGUUCUCAUUAGAAGAGAGAACAAAGACAAAAACGUACAGCUGGAAAGGAAAAAAACAGAGGCAAUUGGAGCUGGGCACUUCUCCAACUAGUUCUUUCUUUGUUUUUUUUGACUGGAACAUAGCCGUCGACAAGGUAGUGGACAGUGGAUCCUCACUAUAUCCAUAUCCUUCAUAUUGUUUGCUUCGUUCUAGCAAUGAAAGAACAGAACCAUGUCAGAUUGUCAGAAGAAAGAAGGGUUAACCAUCAAAUGGAUCUCUGAAUCAGAAAGCUAAUUUGAACCAUCAGAAAUGCAGAGGCAUUCCUAAAUGAUUCAAUCUCUGAUCAGAGGGCACUGCUGGUUUGAGAUCUGAAACCAGUUUCAGCGGGCAUACAUCAUCGCUAAUUCCAACUGGCAUUUUUUCAGGCGGUUUGUUCUGUGAAGCCACUGCACAAAUUUUCAUGUAUUUUGAAAAUACGGCAAGUGAUUUGCCGUGUUAUAUUAUUAUUAGAAGAGAGAACAACAUGUACAUCCCAAAAUGUUAAAAGGAGGCCCAGAAAACCAAGAAUAAAGAACAGCCAGCAACCAAACAAUACAGCAGCUGAAACACCUGCAUACGGCAACAGCCAAAGGGCUAACAGAGGAACCGAAGC
This is a long non-coding RNA of Sorghum bicolor (sorghum), 3082 nucleotides long. RefSeq lists it as uncharacterized. NCBI's taxonomy places the organism in Eukaryota, Viridiplantae, Streptophyta, Magnoliopsida, Poales, Poaceae. The record is from RefSeq and is a predicted model, not a curated record. The transcript has 4 exons.